This 425-nucleotide ribosomal RNA is filed under the name uncultured bacterium. Its description in RNAcentral is "bacterial SSU rRNA". It matches the Rfam family "Bacterial small subunit ribosomal RNA", at positions 355 to 772 of the family's 1533-position model. The record is from RNAcentral.
UGGGGAAUUGUUCGCAAUGGGCGCAAGCCUGACGCAGCAACGCCGCGUGGAGGAUGAAGGUCUUUGGAUUGUAAACUCCUGUCAGCAGGGAAAAAGCGAGGGGACCUAAUACGUCCUUGAGUUGAUUGUACCUGCAGAGGAAGCCCCGGCUAACUCUGUUCCUGCAGCCGCGGUAAUACAGAGGGGGCAAGCGUUAUUCGGAAUUAUUGGGCGUAAAGGGCGCGUAGGCGGCCUGGCAAGUGACGGGUGAAAUCCCUCGGCUUAACCGAGGAACUGCCUGUCAGACUGCUUGGCUCGAGACCGGGAGAGGUGAGUGGAAUUCCCAGUGUAGCGGUGAAAUGCGUAGAUAUUGGGAGGAACACCAGUGGCGAAGGCGGCUCACUGGACCGGAACUGACGCUGAGGCGCGAAAGCGUGGGGAGCAAA